AGCCUUUUAUUAAUAAAAAAGGAAGUCAAGGCCAGUGACAAAAGACAUGACAGUGGAGAGAAAACUCCACUGUGAGCUGCCAUGGCCAGGUUACAAGCAUUGCCCAAGAUGUUAUCGAAUCCCUGAUACAUGAAAAAGGAAAAGGAAAAUACAAUAAGACCCCUUAAGGAGUAAUAAUCAUGUCCCAAUUCCUCAUCAAAUCAUCGAAGUGAUAAUCCUGAUUGCGUAUAUGACCCCCUGCCCAGUACCAGACCGUUGCUUUAACGUCAUUGGAAAUAUAUGAUUAAGAAAUCAAUGGUUGCAUCGCUCUCACAAAGUGAAGAGGUUGACACCAAUUUUAUUUAUUUAUUGUCGAUAAAACAAAACGUUUGUUCUAUUAUUUUACAUUUUAUUAUCCAACUUCAUAUACUCCCUCUGUCCCAAAUUAUAAGUACCUUAUUCCAUUUUAGAUUGUCCCAAAAUAUAUGUAGCUUUUGACUUUUCAACACAUAUUAAUUAAGUUAAAUGGUUCAUUUGUCUAUAUUAUCCUUGCUUUGAGAUUAAAGUAAUUAUUCUAAUAAAAAGUUAGACAUUAUAAUUAGUAUUAAAUAGGGGUAAAUUGGAAAAUAGAGUUAGUAGACAAACAAUAAAUGAUGUUUCCUAAGUAGAAUAUUCCAAAAGGUACUUAUAAUUUGGGACGGAGGGAGUAGAUUUUUAAUCUCUAUUGUUGGAAAUGAUUGAUAAUAACAUCUUGGAUAGCUACAAGCUUGGCUCGACCACCAUAUUCCUCUGGUAAUGUUUCUUCACCUAUUUCCCUGAUAAAAUUCAUGUGUUCAUCCUCAUUUUUCACGAUCACAAUCUGCACGAAUAUUACACUUAUAUAUUUAAGAAAACAAUUUAUGAUUCGAAUGAUGAAAUUGUAGAUUUGUAGAUUUGUAGUCCAAUUAAUAAUUUUAAUGAGAAGAUGCACGUACUUUGUCUAGAAGUGUUUUAUCGAGGGCACGAGAAAUCAUCUUCCAAAUAGUAACAAAGAAACCUGGCAAGCUUAAAAAGUACAAUUUGGCCAAGUGUUCCGGAUAAUAAUCCUGUCAUGAAGGUAUGUAUGAGAAAUUUUAAUAUUUGAUGUAUGAGAAAAAUGAUUGAAUUAAUGAAAUGGAUAAGAUGCUACCUGCAAAAUUUUAAAUCCUGCAAUAAUUCCACGAGUGUCGAGAUUGUUAUAGCUAAUUUUGUCCAAAUCCAUUAUGGAAAUGAACUUUUCGUUUCCUGUUUCUCUUCCCUCCUUGAAAGAACUAAAUUAACAAUAGAUAAGUAUGUACACUUUUGAAAGAAAAAAACAAGUGGGAAAGAGAGAACAAAAUUACAAAAUGUUCAUAUAAGGGCUAAAGUGCUAAACCUUGCUAUAGCUUUGUCAAAGGAAUGCACCAGGCCUUCUGUAUAUCACAAAGGAUAUUAAUAUAACUAAGUGCAAUUUAAUUAUAUAUAUGAAAAAAGAGAUCAACAGCUGACUCACUCUUGGUCUGGAGUUGAUCUUUAGGGGCAAUAUGCCUGUUCAUUUUGAGAAUGAGGACAGGGUGACCACUUGUUGAGAAGCCUUGCAAAUGAACCUUUUUAGCUUCCAACUGAUCUAAUAUUUCAGAUUGAGGGAUGUAACCCAAUGGUGCAAUUUCUUCUCUCCAUUUCUUCCAUUUGAUAAACAUCUUUGCUGCUUUUGUUGGGUCCAUUGAUCUUGCUAUCAAAAACCUCAUCAGUAUGGGAUCACCAUAAUGCUGUAGAUCGAAAACGUACAAAUAAUUAAACACUCUAUCUAACUAUCUAAUCACAUAACAAUACAUGAAAUUGUAUGCUGUACUACAGUAGUAGUACUCAACAUAUAUACCUCAGCUGAUGAUCCUUGCUUUGCCACCAACUUCCUCAUCUCUGUUAAAAGCAGAGUUUGUUGAGUUUUCUCCAUUCCAUUGGUAUUGCUACUUGAACUGCCGGUACUCAUACUGUUACUAAAACUAGAGUAAAUGGAUGCUUGGAAAUGGCGAGAGAGGCCAAACGUAUAAAUGGACGCAAAAUUAAUUAUCCCAACAAUUAAUCUGGUGAGAUUAAGAUGGUUAUCAAAUAGAAAGUUGCCAUGUCCUUCCAGAAGCCCAUAGGUGACCAUGUCUUAAUCUGGUGAGAAUUGAGAUUAAGAUGGUUUAUCAAUUAAUAUCGUACAGUUAUAAAUUACCACCACAUUUCACUCUGGUCUUUUUUUUUUUUUUUUUUGGUAUUAAAUCUAAAACAAAUUUUAUUGAUAAACUCAAAGAGUCAAAGACCUCUACCGUCUAUAGAUAAGAUGGGUUGUAGCCCACAAUUACAUAAAGUCCAAACGGGUAAACAGAGGUAAAAAAAGCAAAAUAGCCCAAAAGGUUUGAGUCAGGCCCAAAGGGUUUAAGGAAGAUCAACAGGUGGCCCAAGAGAAGGAUUUGACUUUGGCUAUUCUUUUGAACCAUUCUGGGGAGUUGAUGCGCGCACAAAGUUGUUCUUGCAUUCAAUAGUUUGUCUGCCGUUCCAAAGUUGUGCCUUGAGCAUUGUGUUUGAGAAAGGAAACCACCAUGGCUUCUAUGAAGAUGGAGAACGUGUUGGAAUUUUUGGAUGAAGAGAACUGUUUUGUUCAGGAACGUACGUACGCUGUUAGGACGUUCGUACGUUCCAUUCGACAGAUGUUGGUUUUGUGGCUGAACGUACGAACGUUAAUUCGACGUACGUACGUCCUAUCUUGGUUUUGUGCAUAUGGGCAUGUUUUAGCCCAUUUCGUGUGUGUUUGUAUGGCUAUGUUAUAAAGCCAAUUGAGAAGGUUGGAAAACCUAAUCUUCAUGUGAGAGAGAGAUUGUGAGAAGCCAUUGGUGAGUUUGAGAGAACUCUUGUGAGGACGAACACUUUGGUUUCUUCGAGAGGGCUUGUAUAAUCGUCUCUAUUUGGAAGAUUGUUGUUUUGGUCGUGGACGUAGGCAAUAUUAGCCGAACCACGUAAAUCUCGUGUUUUGUUUUGUUUUGUUUUUGCUUUGUUUGAUUCACACACUAUUUCAAUUUUGGAUAUUGGUGCAUAAGCUUCCGCUGCGCACAGGAAUGACCUCUGCUAUUCAGGUGAAGGAGAAGGUGGAUGAUGAUGGUGGUAUGGAAGUGAUGAUGGAGAAUGUGUCUUCCAUAAUGCAUGGGAUUCUCUGUGGUGUUUACAUGGAGGAGGUUAGAGCGUUGAUUCAUAGGAAAUUGCAUGAGUGCUUUGCUUGCUGUUGUGAGAUGAGGAAGAAAGUCAUUGUUGUAAACUUCAAGGAUACAAAAAUUGAAGUGAAGGAGGAGGAGAAGUGAGCUUUGAUUUAACCCGAGAAGGAAACUGAACCCGAUGAGGAAACUGAACCCAAGGAGGAAGCUUUGGUCAGUCCUAUCUCGCCAGUUGGAGAGGAUGAUGAUGAGGCUGAGUUUGGGGGCUUCUUUGAUGAUAAGAAUGAGGAUCAAGAUCAAGAUGUUCAUGCACCAGUCCAGAUCCAACAACAGAAGAGGCAGAUGAUGAAGCUGAUGUUGAUUCCGGUGAGUUCCAUUAAAAUUGAGUUGUUGCAUGUCGAGAUCUGCACAUAAGGAUUAGAAAUAUUCAGUUUGAUAGGAGCUCAUAUCUGUUGCAGUUAUACAUACAUACUAGAUUCAUGACAACCACACAGGCUUGUAAUUUUACACGCAAACAAGCAUACAGAAGAACAUCUCCAUGAUUUGAUCGUUGAAGAAAUAUUCUUCUCAUCUUCUGUACAGUAUCUUUUAGCUCGUUUCCAGAAAUAGAGAAAUGAUUUAAGGAUAUGGCCUAUUGGAAGCUGGGAAAUAGAAAUGCAAAGGCAAACCCACGCCCCACAUUUAGAGGAUUCAUCACCUGCCAUAAACUCUAAAACUUAAAGCACCAUCAGUGCCAGAUACGAGUUGUAGCGUUGUCAACAACCACUAUAUGUACUAACAAUUCAUCUGGUACAACUAUUGUGAUUGUAUACUAGAAGAAGCCAUCCAGUACAACUAUCUGUUCUGUAUUAAUGGAAACCCAUACAAGUUCCAUGAUGAAUAACUAUUGUGAUUGUAUAAUGUAGAAAUACUCCAUACUGCAUAACUUACAUUUAUAUACUAUAGAUUAAAACUUUUAUACUUGAAGAAGCCAUCCAAUCUAAUCCAAUCCCACUAUGGUGCUGAAAAAAUGCUGGUUUUAUGGCGUCCAUUCUCUACCCUCAAAGAAAUCGCAUUGCUUCCUAGACAAAUGUGCCACUUCCUAGACAGAUUAGAGGACUUGAAUGGGCCAAAACAAUCUGUCCAGCGCAUGAUACACACAGCCAACCUCUUUAAUCCAUACCAAUGAUUUAAUUGUUGCUCUACGAACUCAGAAUCUUGAAGGCAGGAACAAUCUUUUGCUCAGUCCAUGACAGCACGAAACAUACUGAAGGAUGCUGCAGACACUUACAUCCCUCUAUCUGACACAUUAACUAACGACAUUGCAAUUCUAGAGGCUUGCUUGCUUGCUCAGCAUUGAACUAAAGAUAGCAAUACCGAUUCAGGGACCAUCGUUUUGCGAAAAAAACAAACAAACUUGGAUUCACAUUAAUCCGCAUCACCAAGUCCAUCACUUCCAUCACCCCUCUUGGAUAUAGCAGCAAACUGAGAGGUUGGUUUCUUGGUUUGACUAGCAACUUCAGCAUUCUUUCGCAGAACAGCACCAGGAGAUGGAUACGGGCGUUGCUGAAAGAGAGGACCCUGAAAAUAUGCAAACGGCGAAACAGACUUAACUUAGUCUUGCUCAAAAUUAUCGCAUCUAGAGAUCCUAAUAGUGCAUACUUUCAUAAUCACAUAUUUUGCAACAGAAAUUAAAAGUACUCCCUCAAAAGGAAGAACAAACUUCUAUUCAUUAUCAAAAACUCAAAACUCCUCUUUCACAAUAAUAUGGGCUUAUAUAGCAUUCUUCGAAACCUAGAUUCUUAAGAAAAUGACUAAUUUGCUCAAAACCCUAAACUAGACAAAAUAAUAAAUAAACAAAUUUAUGGACGAAAUUGAAACUUAAAUUUGAAGGCCUAAACGUUGGAAUUUGGCAUUAAAACGCUGGUGCGGACCACUAAGUGGUUAGGCUUGUAGAUCUUGCUGUUUCCAUAAGAAAAAACAUAUAAGAUUCACCCAAUUCUGAACUCUGACGAUCUCAAUCUACCUUAAAUUCACGUUCUCUUUAGUCAUCAGUGACUCUGUUGAAUUUUGGAAAUAGAGGUGGAGGCAAUGUUAUCUUUACUCAGGCUUGAGCCCAGGGUCAGUUUUAGGGAUUUUUACCAUGUACUAGCAACAAGAAUAGACAAUAGAGCCAGAAAUGUUUUGUGCUAAGCUGUGUCCUGUUCAAUAGGGGAACCUCCUCCUGAGAAACUAAAUAGAAAAGAUAACAUGAAAAUGAGAAUCACCCCAUUUCCUAUUUCAACUCAUCCCCCUCAACCAAAGGAAACCCUUACUUCUUCUUACCAACUCAGCUUCAUAGGAAACAGCGAAUAAAUGAUUAGAUUUGAAGGCUAAAGUUUCUGUAAUUGGGAUUCUCUAGCCAUGUAAGGGUGGGGAUCUUGUUAUUGGGUUGGUGUGGAGGUGUAUGUCAUUAGCUUCUUGCUUGCGGACUACUCUCCAUGGCUGUGUAUGUAAUUGUUUGACAAUUGGAAUACAUUAUACUUUUUAUUGAUCCCAAAAAAUAUUGAUUAUAUUUUAAACUUUUUGAGAAGGCAGGUGCUGAAAAGUUAUCUAGAGUAUUGAGAAUAAGUUUAAAAGUUGUUGGAGUUGGGACACAUGCUAAUAGAAAAGACUCAACAAGGGAUCUACUUGUGACCUACAUGCAUGAUUAUCAUUCAUAAAUUAACAUUAGACUUUUUAAUACAAACGGAUCUGCAGUAGCAUGUUAUCAUAUUAAUGAAGGUCUAGAGCAAGAGGCCUACCUAUAUUCUAUAUAGCAAUUAUAAACACCAUGUAAUUCAAUACUUUGGAAUGCGAUAAUGCACAAUUCUACAAAUGAGAAUAAAACAUACAGUUGCGGUCGUAUCUGCUGCUCGAGGCUGUACUCCUUUCAAACCAACAACCCUGCAAAAUAACCACUGGUUAAAUGAGAAUCUUGACAAAAAUUGAUUUCACCUGAUAUAGCACAUAUAUGGUGUGAGCAAAAAUAUUAACAUAUCAAAAACCAGUUUAGAGCUAAACAUGUAGAGUACUGUUAUACAAUUGUAAUUUCAAUAAUACUGUACAUUGCUUCUUUCAAAAAAUAAUGAACAUCCACUGCAGUGCUUUUCUCUCUUAAAAAAGAAAGAAUGAUAUGUGUUCUGCAUACGAUAACGUCAAUGACUUGGUAUGCUUUGGCAUAGUGACACAGGACUAGAUAUACAGAGAUAGUAUAAAGAAAAUGUCGNNNNNNNNNNNNNNNNNNNNNNNNNNNNNNNNNNNNNNNNNNNNNNNNNNNNNNNNNNNNNNNNNNNNNNNNNNNNNNNNNNNNNNNNNNNNNNNNNNNNAUGGAAAAGUGAAUGAACUGCAAUAGCAAAAAACAAUUUUUAUUAAAAAAAUAUGAGGUUUGUCGUGGUUCUGAAUUUUUUCUACUCGGUAACUUAUGCAUGCAGAUAAUCAAUUCGGUCGUUGUGGUCGGACUCUAUUAUGGAUUUCUGCCCACAUUCUCCCAUAGGGCGCCUCUUAUCUCCUCCUUCUCCGAGCUCGGGUGAUGGACGAAGGAACCGAGAAGGAGGUAUCAGCAACAUCGGGUUCUCUUGUAGGACGGGGCUUUGGGCUUUUCUUUAUGGAAAGUGAAUAGAAAUGCAUAACAUACCAGCCACCACGUGGAGCAUCUGAAUAAGAGCUUGGAUCCAUAGGAUCCAACUCAUCAUCCUCAGUGUAAGAACGUUUCUUGUAGUCUUUUUUACCUCCUUUCCCCAUCGGGGGUUUUGAAUUGGACCUGCAAAGCCAAAAUGAUGUCAAUGAAUAAAUAUUUGACUCUUUUAUUCUUAAAAAUUCAAAAAGAAUUGGAGAUAUUCGAACAUGAGGUUUCAAUUUUCGUGUGCUUUGCAAUCAUGCAAGAGAUAAUAGUUCUCAGAAUAGUUUGAAAGUCUUUGAUCCAUGUUCUAUACAUGGUUGUGAAAAAACUAAAUGCUAAAUGGUCGAAACAGGCUUAAGGCUUUGAUGAAAGCAAACAGACAUCACUUUGAUCGAUGCAAAAUGACAGAAGCAACUGAUUUUCGAAGCAGGGCAGUAAACUUCCAAAGCUUAAACCACAAAGAAGCUAGAACAAGACUAGUAGUUGAAGUAUUUACAGUAUCUAAGGUCGGGAACUGCUGCUUUUUUCUCAGAAAUGAUAAUAAGGAUUUUAGACCUCCUGCAGUCCUUUUAGCAAAACAGUCCAGUUCAAAGUACAUACAGUUACUCAAUAUGGUGAGCUCAUUACGGUUCAUAACUUCAUAUUGACUCCACUGACAUUUUCAGAUAUAGGCAGCAUGCCAGCGAAGUCAGAUCCCAGCUCAAACCAGUUGAACUAGUCUUGCUAUAAAUGUGAUGCAAGUUUAUGUUUCAAGUUACCUAUGCUUGGACGCCAAACUGCUUGAAUCUUCUAUCAUCUUUGAUCCAUUGCUGAUCUGUUGCUGAUUGUUCAAGUUGGGUGAUAAGUGAUGAUAAGGAAGAUUAAGAACCCUGCAAUCAGAACAGAAGUGGUCUAAUACUGGCACCGAGUAAUGCUCUAUGAACUGAAACUAAAACAGAAUGGCCUACUCAUGUUAUUAUAAAUGUCUUACAUUAUGAUGCUGAGCUAUGUUGUAUCAUACAUCAUUUAUAUUAUUAGCAAGGCAACAUAACUAUACCACCUUUUAUAGACUAACCAAGUCGUAGUUUAUAAGACCACUUCCUUCCUAAUAAGCUAAAGAUUAAAAUCCCUCAAGCUAUCUUCCAGCGAAAGCAUGAAUAUUUGAUUACACUUUACCUUUUAAUUAGAGGCUGCACCCUGAUUCAUAUGUUAGAUAGCAUGUCUAAACUAAUAAAAUAGGAAUUUAUAGAAUGGAACAAUGACACAACCAGCUAUUCAUGAGCUUUGCCCCAUAGUUUCAUCUUGAUUUCAUGAAAUUUGGCAAAUGUUUAUAAGCUAAUAGCUGUAGUAAUACGAUGCUGACCAAAAACAAACGCUGAGAUAAAUGUGAAGUGCAAGUACAACAUUUACCGUGCACAGUGAUUACAGUAACCCGAUGCUUGCACAAGGCCAAGCCCCCAUCCACCACAUCCCAUGCAUUUCCGUUGCAUGGAUAUGUUUUCAGUUUCACCAGCUGUUUUCCUGGAAAGACUACCAGUUUGUUGCAAUGCAACCUCCUCUACGGAGCUUGGUCUCUCCCAUUGUGUUACAUAUGUCUUCAUAUUGUAGUAAUACUUGUGAUCUGCAAAGACAUGACCAAAGAUAUAGAAACGACUUGCUCUGUUUUGUUUUUCUUUCUCUUUUAUUUGUUUUAACUCUCAUAAAGAAAAAACAAGAGAAUCUUGUUGUAGUUUGGUUAUUCAAAAGGAUACUGACUUGGAUGUCAAUAAUACCACGGUGUGUUCAUCAAAAGGAAAGCUAACUUGGAUGCAGAAUCAUGCAGAUAAUACCAGUUCACCACCUAUCAAACUUAUUCCACAUUAAAUUUGAGAUAUUAAGUAUAACUACUUCAUUCGGAUCAUAUGCUUUGACUCAAAGCAUCCACUGCUACUACCAAAAAAUACUCCUAAAAACACUGGGAAAUGCUGAUUAUAGUUAAAUUCAAUAUUAACUUUCUCUUCUAUUAGCACAAAUUAAACAUCGAUUUCUUCCAAAUCAGCAGAUUCCAACCAUUUCAACAUCCCAAAAAAAAAAAAAAAAAAAGGUUUCAACAGUGCUAUGAUUGCAAGUACUCGUCAUAGAACUAUACGGUUUUUGAGUUUGUGGAAAAGCUGCUUGAACAUAAAUCACGUUAUCCCAGAUGGAGACUUAUUCUAGUCCGAUUUGUAUGAUGACUUUUAUAUAAACCUUGACAGAGUUGAGAGAAAGCUGACUUGUAGAUUUCCAUUUUUCAUAUACAGUAUGUAUAACUUUUGAAUAAUGAUAAGCAGUAUAUAACCUACAGACACCCUACAUCAUACCUGUAGUUACAUCGACGACCUCUUGCCAAUCUGGUGGUAGAGGUAAUGACUCUGCAGACUGUGGAAUAGUAGGAGUCUCAAAAGGAAUCUCCCAUUGGCUUUUUCCAGUAUUUUCAUUAUAAUAAUAAACAGAACCAGUUGAAGGGUCUUUUGCUUCCUUCUGCAUUAGAAAGUCAAAACGUAGAACUGAUAUCCGCAAGAGAAAAAAGAAAAAGAAAGCAUAUAUGUCAUAUAAAGAUUCUAUCUAUCUUACAAGCAACACCAAUAUUAGAAUGUCAAAAACCUAGUGAUGAAAAAAGAUAAUAAGCAUGUGAGCAGAAUUAUACAUACACGUCAAAUAUAGCCAUCUCCUGUACUGGUUCAUUCAAACAUAUCACAAAGUUCAUGUACGGAUGCAAUCAUCUUAAAAAAGACGACAGAAAAAGAAUUAAAAGUGCACACCAAAAAUAGAUAGCAUCAACAGUGAGGUGCUCUUUGAACUGAUUUUAACCUAGUAAGGAGGAAUAUGAAUUCCAUUUAUGGUCUUUAUAAGUAGUAAGUUAGUAACCUACACCUUAGUAAUGAUCGCGUAUAUGCACCAACAUUAAAAACUUACACACCAAAACAAAAUUAUUUCUUUUUAAUUUAAAGCUGACUAAACAUUAAAAGCCAAACAUAUUUGCUCAGGUAAUUCUAUUCUUCUCGAAGAUGCAUGAAAUAACGCUAAAGCAACAUUGCAAAACAAGAGCUGUGAUGAGUAAAGCAGAUGAAACACUGAAACCAAUCGUAAAAAAAUUGCUCAUCUUAACUUAUGUGCUAAAGUGUGCCAACAUUUGCAAUAAUAAGGAGCUGCUUUAUUAUGAAAAAACAGAAACAUUGAUAAAAACUGGCACUCACCCAUCCAGGAAGUAAUUUUGCACCAGCUACAGUUUUACUUGAUUGAGUCUCGAACUUCUGAAAUAUGAAAACAAGGACUUAGAGUCGCAACAAAUAAUAAAAUAACAACAGAGUAAAGAUCUAUCAUGAAAACAAGGACUGAUUCAAUGACUAUUCAAUUAAAGAGAAAAUCAGACAAUUUGAGAUAUAUGAGCUCUUCAUACAAGGUUCGAUGGAGAAGCAAACGGUUAAAGGUGCGCAAUUGAAGAGAGCCAGCUUGAUCUUGGGAUAUCACUUAAGUAAUGAGGUACAUUGACCAUAUAUAUAUACAACACAUGUUAAACAGUUCUAUUUUUUUAUGACUUCCAUUUGAAAAUUUAUGUGGGGAUAGAAUAUAAUACAUGUUAACACCUCUUUCUAUGUAACGUUUGCACCCUUUUCAAGACCAUUCAGUAGAUGCAUUAAGGGCUGACUUACUGGGAUGAUGCACUCCCAAUGGAGAUCAAUGUCACAAGAUAUUAGCUAAUUUCAACAUUUCAACCUAAAAAGUAAAGCUCAUAACUUGAAAGAAUGAUCAGCAUGUCAAGAAAUUAUUAUCACUAAAGUAUUAGACAUGUAUACACAAAUGCACAUGUACAAUUAAACACACGAUAGAACACUUACGUUCUCAGUUGCUGCUUGACCCAGUUUAGUCGAGUCAUCUUUUAGAAUACCCCUUGCUUUUAAUUUUUGCUUCAAAUAUUCAGGCAGAUCUCUUGCUGAAACCCUUGGUCCUGAUUCAUUUUCAGCUUCAGGUAGUUUAUGAGCAUCACCAAUCUCACCUCCAGACUUUGCUGAAGCAUAAAUAAAAGUAAAACAUAUAUAUUCAUAAAAUGUCUCGGUACAAAACUCAUUGAAAAUCUGUAUUACAUGAAAAGCCGUGGAUUUUACCAGAUAUAUUACUAGAAGGCUUUGAAGCGCCAUAACCAGCACUUCCACCUGGUACACCAUAUCCAUUUCCAAUUUCGAUGUUGCCUGUCAAAAUGUCAAAAAGUGAGCUCCUCUGCACAUAAAAUAAUAUCCACAUGAAUAUAUUUAUAUGUUGCACCAACAUGAUUAAUAAGUUGAGAAUCAGAAGAUAAUUAUUUAUCCACGAUAUGCUGGUGUGCAAUUCUAUGUCACAGCUUAUCUAAAAGGCUAAACCAAUAGGAUAUGGAUUUAGCUGGGGUUUGGGAGCAUCCAAGCACUUGUUUGAUAUUACAAGGCUUUUUCGUCCAACUUAAAGAAGAUGCAGAGGAUUCUUCUCUAAUGAAUGUAGAAGGAAGGCAUUUACAACUAAUCAAAAAAUCUACUGUAUCUGUGUUUAGUUAGAUUUGUUUCAAAAGUAUAAAGAUCAUCCUUGGAGAAUUUCAUGGGUGGAAAGACAAUGUUCCUGAACAUACAUGGUGUGUGUGUGUGUGCAAUUUAUCUUAAAAGCUAUAUAAAAGUUCCCAGAGAACUGUAACAAAGUUUAAGUUCCAACUGUAAGAAAGGUGGAAUGUCUGAGAUCAUGAGAUGAUGUGAAACACAAGAGAGUUGGUGUUAACCUUUUUCAGGAAAUGAAGACUUCCGACGUUUUGAAGCCAUUUCUGCGCGAUGAUCAGUUGUCAUUUUCAGCAGAUGCUCCUAUAUAAAUGUUAAAAAAUAACCUAAACUCGUGUAAGCGUCCAGGUUGAAAGAGGAUCUACUGAAUAUAUGCAGAAACCAUAAAGUGAUGACAAGAGAAAAUAUGAAAUGAAAGGUGAAGGAAAUAUCUACACAUAACAGACCUUCAAAGCAUUCGGAUCAUAACGACCUGAGAUGAUAUCUUUUCCAUCCUCUAGAGAUCCAGUUGCAACUCCCGCUUGUCUGAGAUCACAGACCAGUGUAUAAUUUCUACCAUAUUUUAUUGGCUUAUCAUGAGAUUCUACAGAAGAAUAUUAGAGAAAAUAACUCAGACUCACCUUUGAUCACGUAUGACUUGUUGGGUGGUAAUUUCCUAAUGAUCAAGACCCAAGAUUUCAAUGACAGAAGUCACAAAAGAUAAUUAAGUUGAGAGUAUAAGAAACAAUAAAUAGAAUCCAUAACGAAACAUACUUGUUCACGCAGCACAGCAUCCUGAGCAGCAUCUUCAACAUCCUUGUCACCUACUCCAUGUAACCUCGAGUAACUAUGACUAGGUUGUGGAUGAUUGGAUUUCCACCCAUAUCUAUUUUCAUUAGUUUGGUUAACUGAAAUUGAUUUCACUUCAUUACACGCUUCUUCGACUUUUUGCUUCUUCUGUUGCUGAACUAUGUCUUCAGACACUUCAGUUAGUUCCUUUGAUUGAUAAUCUGUGUCCCUGUCAUCUUGACAAGACUUUAAUACUUGUGUUGCAUGUUCUGGUUGGCCUGAAUUCUCCAUCUGUUGGGAAACAUUGUUUGCCUCAUUCUGAUGCACAUCUAAAGAACUGGUUCUAUUCGCUGGCCCAAGGGAACUGCGACUGGAUGAGGCAAUUCCAUCUUGAGGGUUCUUUGUUGUAAACUCAGAGUCACUGGCUUCAACCUGAGGUUGCAUAGAAUCAUGACCAGUCCCCACUGGAGUCACCAAACCAGGAGCCAGAUGUCCACUAGACUGAAAGACUGGCAUGCUAGGCUGAGUGAUGACGUUUGCUGGGACAUUAUGAGGUACUUGUACUGAUGAAUUAAGAGCAUGUGUAGCCAAACCAUGUUGUUCUGGUGGAUAAAAUUGUGUAGAAAAAUUUUGAGUACCAGGAGGAAAUGGUGCAUUACAUGUUGGAAAAGGGGACUGAAUGUUACCAGAAUAAUUUGGAUAAAAAUUCACCAGUCUGGGAGUGUUACCAAAAGAAUGUGGUUGUGGGACAGAUGGAACUAAUGGAGCUGAAUUAUAAAAGGCAUUUGGAUACAACUGUGUGCCAGGAGGCAUUGGUUGUGAGUUGAAAUUGUCCAUAAUAAAUCAAUGCAUAAGACAGUAAUGGAUCUUGUUCAACCAAAACUUCACAAGGAAGCGAAAAGUUUCACGAAAUUGGAUCUCGCCAAUAUAGAUAUGGACAAAAUUUUCACUUCAAGCAAUGUAAAACUGCAUUCCAAUUCCCAGAAAAACUAACAUUAGUGCAUAUUUACAAACAAAGAAACGAUGAAGAUACUUUUCACAUACUUAUAUGACAUGAGUAAAAAAGUAUCAAAUCAAACAACUUUAUAUAACACCAUCUACUAAGCCAUUAGAGGACUUGCAUAACAUAAGGAUGAAAUAUAUCACAACAACUAUGUCGAGCAACAUUUUGAGUUUGUAAAUAUCCUGGACUGCCAUGUCUUAAUAAUUACCAGUUAGUAUUCCUCAUUACAAAAUUUUUGAUUUAUAAUCAAGAAAUGACCACCCUAUAAUUGUCAUAGCCAAACCUACAUCAUAACAAGUUAGUGAUAUGGUGAAACUUUUCGUUUCCAAGUGUCCUACCACCAUGCUGAGAGACAAUAAGUAAGUCUUCAGUCAAGGAAACUCUUCCAUGUAAUCAAAAGUUUUAUAAUAACAAGCUACUGCCUCAACUAGAUCUACUGAUGCUUUAUACUUACUGAAACAUGGAUAAUGACUUCAUAGAUUAACUUGAUAACUGUAUUGCCAAUAAAUAAAUUCAUGAAAGGAGUAACUUUGGUGCUCCAGUAUUACUAAAACUAAGUGAAUAUACCCAUAUAUGAGCUGAUUCUAACUAUUGUGUGUAACAUAAAUUGUUGGCAACUCAUCAUUGUGAGUUUACUUAGAAAAGUACCUCUCUGUUGGAUAUACAAUAUGUAGGACUUCACCAAUAGUCCCUACAUGAGCACAGUCCAUCCUUAAAAUGAUGGAAUCUAUUCGCAUCCCUCAAUAUAAUCUCUCGUCUAGUGAUCUUUGCAAUCAAUUUGAUUGCCGAAUGACAAUCCCCACAUACACGAAGGUUCUUCAUUACUCGAAUAGGCAUCCCUUCUGGGACCUUCAAUAACCCAUACGCUAUAGCCAACUUUUCACUGUGAUGACCCAAGUUGUGCACUUUCUCCUCCUCGUCCACAUCAUGCAGCACAAAACUACUGUCAGGAGAAUAACCGGCAUCUCUUAGCAUGCCCCCCAAUUUAUCCAACAUUCCCACAAUUAUCCUGUGCUCAGGGUGCCUCUCACUAUCUCCUCCAGUGAACAUAUGGACUUUCUUCUCGAUAUCAAUCCAGCUACAGCCAGGGAACUUCUUCACAUUCCCUAUCCUCAUACAUUUCCUCAGCUCUUCAACAUCUUCCCAUCUCUUUUUCGAUGCAUAAAUGUUAGAUAGUAAGAUAUAAGGACCAGCAUUGUUGGGCUCAAGUUGUACAAGCUUCUUAGCCGCUAUUUCAGCCAACUCCUCAUUCAUGUGCAUUUUGCAUGCCCCUAAAAAUGCGCCCCAAACAACAGCAUCUGCCUCAACCUGCAUCUUCUCAAUCAUGUCCAAUGCUUCGUGGACAUGGCCAGCUCGGCCAAGAAGAUCGACCACGCAAGCAUAAUGCUCAGCAGUUGGUUCCACCGAAUAGUUGACUCUCAUGGACUCGAAAAUUUUCAUCCCAUCCUCAACUUUACCUGUAUAGCUACAGGCAGAAAGAACACCAAUGAAGGUAACCUCGUCAGGUACCAUGCCUGCAGAACACAUUUCUUGAAAAACAUGCAAGGCAUCAUCCCCUAAACCAUGUUGCGCAUAUCCUGUGAUCAUAGAAUUCCACAUAACAACAUCCUUUGGAGCAAACCUAUCAAACAAGAAUCUGGCCUUACCAAGCUCACCACAUUUUAUAUACAUUGUGACCAAAGCAGAGGCAACAAAAACAUCAGAAGCAAACUCCGAUUUCACCACCUUUCCAUGAAUUUGCCGCCCUUGGGCAAGAAUUGCCAUGCUAGAGCAAACAGAAAGAACACUAAUUAAAGAGGAGUAGUUUGCUUGAACUCUUGCUCUUAGCAUUAGUGAAAACAAAUCGAGUGCUUCCAUUUCAAAUCCAUUUUUCUCAUACCCCUUAAUCAUUGCGCUCCAUGUUCCAUCAUCCUUGUUUCUCAUUCGACCAAAAAUUUCUCUCGCUUCAGCUAAUUUCCCAUUCUGGCCAAACCCAAGGAUCAUUGCAUUACAAGAAACAACCGACUUCUCCGGCAUCCUAUUAAACAGAUCAAAUGCUUCAUCAAUUCGUCCACAGUGCGUGUAACCUGUCAACAUUGCUGUCCAAGACACUUCAUUCUUCUCUGGCAUCACCUCAAAAAGCUCUCUAGCAAUAUCUACUUGUGAAUUCUGGGCGUAACCUGUUAACAUUGUAGUCCAAGAUAUAAUAUUUCGAUGUGGCAUAGAAUCAAAAAGCUCCCUAGCUUCACUCAGACGCCCCUCCUGGCAAUACCCAGCAAUCAUAUUAGUCCAAGCAACUACAUCCUUCUCCGGCAUACUAUCAAAAAGACCUCUAGCAUCAUCGACUCGACGAGCUCGAAUAAGACCACCCAACAUCACAGUCCAGGAAAUAAUAUUCCUUUCAGACAUUUGUUGAAACAGAGACUCAGCUUCUGAUAUUGUACCCUCUUGAACAUACCCUCUAACCAUGGAAGUCCACGAAACAACAUUCCUUUCAGGCAUAUUAUCAAAUACUUUACGUGCUUCCUUAAUCAUCUUAUUCUUAACAUACCCAGAAAUCAAACUAUUCCAUGAAGAUGUGUUUCGUUCAGGCAUUUUGUCGAACAAACGUUGAGCUUCUCUUGGUUGUUUACUUUGAAAAUACCCAGAAAUAAUGGCAUUCCAAGAAACAAUGCUUUUAUCAGACAUUUCAUCAAAUAUCUCUUGUGCUCUUUCAAUUUGGCCGAGUCGACCAUAACGAGCAAUUUCAUUAUUUGCUGCAACAACAGCAUUUGUACAAUAUCUUCGAUACCGGGUCGACAAGAACUGCAUCACUAAGCUAAAAUUAACUAAACUAUUGAGAAAAAAUCUACCAAUUAUGAUGAAUAUUACAUAAAUUCAUUACUGAUUAUAAUCUGAUUUUUUCAGUUAAAACGUUUUUCAGUCGAUUCAACUUGAAACUUAUAAGAAGAAAAAUGAAUUGAAAGAAAUAAAAUUAAACACAAAAGAUAAAAACUGAAGAGAACUGAAGAAGUUUAAUCACCUUAGAACACAUUCAAGAACCCUAGAAUUUCGCCUGAAAAUAUAAGAUUCCGCCGGAGCUUUAAACGGUAGGUUUCUCGGAAGGAUGAUUUCGUGGUGGUGUUCUUUACUUCUUUCUGCAAGUUCGUGUUCCAGACUUCCAGCUCUAUAGUUUAGACAGGCCUUUAUUGGAUCUGGGUCUUCUAAUUGGGUAUAUUGUGCCCGUCGAAAAAGCCUUAACAUUUGGGCCCGUGUAGAUGUGUGGGUCCAGCCCAUCUCUCAAGCCUUUUGGGCUCUGGUCCUGCAAAAGUUGUUGAGUUGAAGGAAUGACAGAUUUUGCUAGAAGCCUUGGUAAGUUUUUUUGACAUUCAUGUUAAUCUCUUCAUCAAUGAUCAAUCUAUAUAUUUUCCUUUAAACUAGGGCUGGGCAAAACCGAUCCGAAACAUGCAAACCGAACCGAACCGAAAAUAAGGUGUUUACAUGUUCGGUUGCAGUUUCUAAUUUUGUAAAACACCUACUUUGGGUGUUCGGUUGCAGUUUCGAAAAUUUUGGAACACCCAAAACCGAACCGAACAUGUAAUUUUGUAUAUAGUCCAACCCAUCAUGUAAUUUUGUAUACAGUCCAGCCCAUCUCUCCAGCAGUCCAGCCCAUUUGUCCAACAGUCCAACCCAUCUACUAGGUGUUCGGUUCGGUUUUAUUCGGUAACCGAACCGAAUCACAUAUUCGGUUAUGUUUCGGUUUUAGUAAAAAAAUUUUGGUUCGGUUCGGUUUCAAAAAUGAAACAGUUCGGUUUCGGUUUUAGUUUUUACAAAACACCUACUAGGUGUUCGGUUGCCAGUUUUGGCCAAAACCGAACCGAACCGAACCAUGCCCAGCCCUACUUUAAACGUUGUGUAUGAUAAGAUUGUUGGUCACAAUUUAGGCCUGUGAGUUUUUACAAACCUUUUUUUGCCAUUUGCUUUGGAAAUGAGGGAAGAAAAGGAUGAGCAAAAGCCGUUGGAUCAACUGCCAACGCGCAUUUUUUGAGUAACCAAAGCUUUCUAGUUGUUACAUAUCUUGAUGCAUUACUGACAUGGUUAAACAAGCUCUUUCAUAUAGCCAGGUAAAAUCUCACGAAGAUUGUUUCAGUUUAGUUAUAGGACUUGUUCUGCUUUUCACAUUGUAGUGAUAACUCAGUGCUCUGAGUUAUCAUCCAUAUCAAUCAUCCUAGAUUCCUAUCUAAAAUCCAGAACCACUGUUUCUUUAUAGUCAUGGAAAGUGGAAAGAUGAUAUCGCAGAAUAAUAACUCAAAGCUUACUUUAUUACUGAUUCCACGACCUUUGGUAAAUGGUAAUUUUACAACAGAAAGUACAACAGCUGCUAUGCACUAUCUCGCAAUGAGGGUUCAAAGCAACAGUAAGUCUCAACUCUCCAAAGAAUUUGAAUCACCUCUAUCCUAGGUACAUAAUCCUACUACAACAACAAAUAGAAACAAUAGAAGUCUCGUCUAAGAUAGGAGGGGUCGCACGUUCUGCAGCCAAAAAAUGAUGUCGUCCUCAUCUAUCGAUGCAGUCAAAAAAGAAUUAUGUUCAUAGCUACAACCGUACCAUGUCUGGUAUCUGCAUUAUUGGCACCGCUUCACCUCUGCAUUUGCAUCAUUAAGAAGCCCUGACAUUAAAUCCCCGAAUCUCUUUGCUUGAGGCCCAGGCUUGACGACAUUUACAUCACCCCAUUUGGAGCAUGGAUCGGCCCACCAGCUCUUCAAGCCAGUACACCACGCCCCAGGUGCAGCUCGAUAUCGACUGCGCUUCAAGAUUUUAUUAU
This 17854-nucleotide long non-coding RNA is filed under the name Aquilegia coerulea. RNAcentral describes it as "long non-coding RNA (ACOE_LNC001726)". The record is from RNAcentral. Lineage: Eukaryota; Viridiplantae; Streptophyta; Magnoliopsida; Ranunculales; Ranunculaceae.